UACGUAGGGGGCGAGCGUUGUCCGGAAUCACUGGGUGUAAAGGGUCUGCAAGCGGAUCUGCAAGUCAGAGGUGAAAUCCUGCAGCUUAACUGUAGAACAGCCUUUGAAACUGUUGGUCUUGAGUCCGGGCGAGGAUGGCGGAAUUCCUGGUGUAGCGGUGAAAUGCGUAGAUAUCAGGAAGAACACCGGUGGUGAAGACGGCCAUCUGGACCGGUACUGACGCCCAUAGACGAAAGCGUGGGUAG
This 245-nucleotide ribosomal RNA is filed under the name uncultured bacterium. RNAcentral describes it as "partial 16S ribosomal RNA". It matches the Rfam family "Bacterial small subunit ribosomal RNA", at positions 524 to 768 of the family's 1533-position model. The record is from RNAcentral.